GAGGGGGCGGGGUGCUUACCAUGCAAGUCGAACGAUGAACCGCUUUCGGGCGGGGAUUAGUGGCGAACGGGUGAGUAACACGUGGGCAAUCUGCCCUGCACUCUGGGACAAGCCCUGGAAACGGGGUCUAAUACCGGAUAUGACCGUCUGCCGCAUGGUGGAUGGUGUAAAGCUCCGGCGGUGCAGGAUGAGCCCGCGGCCUAUCAGCUUGUUGGUGAGGUAGUGGCUCACCAAGGCGACGACGGGUAGCCGGCCUGAGAGGGCGACCGGCCACACUGGGACUGAGACACGGCCCAGACUCCUACGGGAGGCAGCAGUGGGGAAUAUUGCACAAUGGGCGAAAGCCUGAUGCAGCGACGCCGCGUGAGGGAUGACGGCCUUCGGGUUGUAAACCUCUUUCAGCAGGGAAGAAGCGAAAGUGACGGUACCUGCAGAAGAAGCGCCGGCUAACUACGUGCCAGCAGCCGCGGUAAUACGUAGGGCGCAAGCGUUGUCCGGAAUUAUUGGGCGUAAAGAGCUCGUAGGCGGCUUGUCACGUCGGUUGUGAAAGCCCGGGGCUUAACCCCGGGUCUGCAGUCGAUACGGGCAGGCUAGAGUUCGGUAGGGGAGAUCGGAAUUCCUGGUGUAGCGGUGAAAUGCGCAGAUAUCAGGAGGAACACCGGUGGCGAAGGCGGAUCUCUGGGCCGAUACUGACGCUGAGGAGCAAAGCUGGGGGGACACAAAAAAAAAAAAAGG
This 735-nucleotide ribosomal RNA is filed under the name Streptomyces odorifer. Its description in RNAcentral is "bacterial SSU rRNA". It matches the Rfam family "Bacterial small subunit ribosomal RNA", at positions 33 to 786 of the family's 1533-position model. The record is from RNAcentral. Lineage: Bacteria; Bacillati; Actinomycetota; Actinomycetes; Kitasatosporales; Streptomycetaceae.